AACGAACGCUGGCGGCAUGCCUAACACAUGCAAGUCGAACGAGACCUUCGGGUCUAGUGGCGCACGGGUGCGUAACGCGUGGGAAUCUGCCCUUUGCUUCGGAAUAACAGUUAGAAAUGACUGCUAAUACCGGAUGAUGUCUUCGGACCAAAGAUUUUAAUCCGGCAAAGGAUGAGCCCGCGUAGGAUUAGGUAGUUGGUGGGGUAAAGCCUACCAAGCCGACGAUCCCUUAGCUGGUCUGAGAGGAUGAUCAGCCACACUGGGACUGAGACACGGCCCAGACUCCUACGGGAGGCAGCAGUGGGGAAUAUUGGACAAUGGGCGCAAGCCUGAUCCAGCAAUGCCGCGUGAGUGAUGAAGGCCUUCGGGUCG
This 372-nucleotide ribosomal RNA is filed under the name uncultured bacterium. Its description in RNAcentral is "bacterial SSU rRNA". It matches the Rfam family "Bacterial small subunit ribosomal RNA", at positions 29 to 425 of the family's 1533-position model. The record is from RNAcentral.